AGUUAUGGCCAGGUUAUGGCAUGUGUCAGGUUAAUCUGAACCUCAGGUGGAGAGCGGGACAGCAACGUUCUACAUUGGUGCGCUUACGGCAACCCAAAAGACUGCCAAAAUCAACUGUCAAGAGAAAAACUCGUGCUUGCCUCACUUCAGUUUCCCCAGCGCCAGUGUGUGUCAGACUUCAGUUUAUGCAGAUGUGCUGCUGCUGAAGUCACCCGGUGGAGGAACUUGUUUUUUGACAGGCAUACUACAGAUGCUGUGCUGCGAACGGACACUGCAGUCACCUGUGGGAGGGGUCAAUCAAAUCGGAUCUCAAAAACAGAUGUCGCGAAUCUGAUCUGAUCUACCUACCUCUAUGUGGCAAUAGAGUACCUGCUUUUACUGGCCAGGGGACCAAGAUGAAAACAAGAGGCCUGUACCCAGACAUACAAGCACCCAUCAAGUCACCCAGUCCUCCACCACCUGCCGUGCAGCUAUACCCAUCCAUCAAAUCCAGCCACUUGCCCACCCUAACCAGUCACAGCAUUUGGAGGCAAUAAAGUAUAAUGAAAUGUA
Molecule: long non-coding RNA, 552 nt
Organism: Engraulis encrasicolus (European anchovy)
Lineage: Eukaryota; Metazoa; Chordata; Actinopteri; Clupeiformes; Engraulidae
Exons: 4
Source: RefSeq, a predicted model, not a curated record